AACCUGCCCAAGAGAUCGGGAUAACACCUGGAAACAGAUGCUAAUACCGGAUAACAACAGAUGAUGCCUAUCAACUGUUUAAAAGAUGGUUCUGCUAUCACUCUUGGAUGGACCUGCGGUGCAUUAGCUAGUUGGUAGGGUAACGGCCUACCAAGGCGAUGAUGCAUAGCCGAGUUGAGAGACUGAUCGGCCNCAUUGGGACUGAGACACGGCCAAACUCCUACGGGAGGCAGCAGGG
This 238-nucleotide ribosomal RNA is filed under the name uncultured Lactobacillus sp. RNAcentral's name for it is "partial 16S ribosomal RNA". It matches the Rfam family "Bacterial small subunit ribosomal RNA", at positions 123 to 354 of the family's 1533-position model. Lineage: Bacteria; Bacillati; Bacillota; Bacilli; Lactobacillales; Lactobacillaceae. The record is from RNAcentral.